Molecule: long non-coding RNA, 470 nt
Filed under: Homo sapiens (human)
Lineage: Eukaryota; Metazoa; Chordata; Mammalia; Primates; Hominidae
Description: HSALNT0177471
Source: RNAcentral
GGGCCUGAGGUAUAAAUGCAGGAUGGGUGCCGGCCCCGCCUGCCAGGGCCUCUGCACGUGGGUACCGCGGUGCUGGCCCAGAAGAGCCAGCUGAAGUCUAAUGGACCUGAGCAUGAACCCCCGGCCCCCACAGGAGACAGCUUGGCGGCAGUGAAAUGGAGGAUGAGGCUGGGGCCUUCAAGGAAAGGUGAUACCUCCCUUCCUGAAUGCCACCAGGGAUGGCCGAGGAGACCUCACAGCAUUAGUGAGACCCACCGUGGGGGGUUCAGGUGAGAAACUAAUACCUGAAAGAGGCAAAGAGGCUUGUUGCAAAUACCUGCCUUUACAUAUGCAAUUGGCUGGGUCCUGGUGGGAUGACACCGUGAGGUUGGUAAAGCCCCACUUUCUGUGUUGGGCCACACGUGUCAGGAGGCAGCUCAGCUCUGCUUCCCCAGGCCUUUAAAGAACAUGUGACAUCAGGAGUGGUCCCU